Molecule: ribosomal RNA, 474 nt
Filed under: Escherichia coli
Lineage: Bacteria; Pseudomonadati; Pseudomonadota; Gammaproteobacteria; Enterobacterales; Enterobacteriaceae
Description: bacterial SSU rRNA
Rfam family: Bacterial small subunit ribosomal RNA
Source: RNAcentral
CCUGAUGGAGGGGGGUAACUACUGGAAACGGUAGCUAAUACCGCAUAACGUCGCAAGACCAAAGAGGGGGACCUUCGGGCCUCUUGCCAUCGGAUGUGCCCAGAUGGGAUUAGCUAGUAGGUGGGGUAACGGCUCACCUAGGCGACGAUCCCUAGCUGGUCUGAGAGGAUGACCAGCCACACUGGAACUGAGACACGGUCCAGACUCCUACGGGAGGCAGCAGUGGGGAAUAUUGCACAAUGGGCGCAAGCCUGAUGCAGCCAUGCCGCGUGUAUGAAGAAGGCCUUCGGGUUGUAAAGUACUUUCAGCGGGGAGGAAGGGAGUAAAGUUAAUACCUUUGCUCAUUGACGUUACCCGCAGAAGAAGCACCGGCUAACUCCGUGCCAGCAGCCGCGGUAAUACGGAGGGUGCAAGCGUUAAUCGGAAUUACUGGGCGUAAAGCGCACGCAGGCGGUUUGUUAAGUCAGAUGUGAA